ACUGUAAACCAUUUAAGGAAAAUAUGUACUCUAAACCAAUAUAUUUUAUUUUCCCCACAGCUUAUUUUGAAUACUGUAAAAUUAUGUCCUCAAAUUCUUCUGUGGACUCAUGAUUGCUGUUCUUUAUGUUUCAUUUCCCUGAGAUACUAGAAAGGAUGAGAACAUUUCCAUGGAUGCAAUCCUGAGCCAUAAACUACCCUCAUUGAGGGGUGCCAUUCCCCACCCAACUGACUAUCUGAUAAGGUAGCAGUGGAAACAAUGGAAAUGUGUAGAAGAUUCUUCCAGCUCAUUUGCAACCAGUAAGUACUAAGCAGUAUUACACCUACUGUUCACAGAUUUCCAGUGACAUCAAAAAUGGUAGCAAUGACUAUCAACCUACCGAAUACACAGGGACCAAGAAAACAACUGUUGUCACCAUGACCAUUGAUCAACCCAGAAAAUGCCACCAAAAUGGCAGUAGAGGGUUAAGAAAUUAAUUCCUACUGCUUUAAACCCAAAUUCAAAAGUCUCUCUGGGACUUCCAACCUUUUGGGUUAAUCCCUAGACAGGUGGCAACUGUACUUAGAGUAAAUUAACCACCCCCUAAUUGUACCAAAAAAGAGCUUGCUAGUAAUUGACAGGAAGACAGCUAAAUAUGAUUAUGCCCAUUGGGAAUAUAAAAUCUGCAAAUAAUCCUUAGAGGUUAAGAGAAUAAUGACUUCUGUAAACAGAUUUUAAUUUAACAGAAAAUAUUUUAAAAUAAAGUUUCCGUAUAUGGUUUAGUAAGGAACUGAAACAAGCACCAUAAGCAGGUAAAUACGGAGAUAUUGUGAGAGAGAAUUAGAUGACGCAAGACUGGAUUUACUCAGAAGCUUUUUAACCUUAAUCCUGUAUGGAUAAAUUUCCAACCAAAUAAUAAAAAGCAAUUUCAUUUACGUGCUGCAGUCACAGGGUUUACACAAUGGGGCCCCUGAGUGCUCCAUUUCCACAUCUCCUCAAGGAGGAAACCUCUAUCAUUUGCUCAUUCUUUAGGAAGCAUGCUUUCCUCCAUGGGUGCAAAGACCCCCAGCAUAAAACCCAAACUUUUUUUCCCUCUUCUCACCAACCUCAGAAAGCAGUAACUUCACUGAACUGUAGAAGUUGGCCUUUCUGUCUUCUUUAUGAGCCAGAAAGGGUAUUUGGCUUAAAAGAUCAGAAAGCACAUAAAGCCAGUCUUUCUAAAGUAAUGUAAGCAAGACUUCUGAAAUAUACAUACUCAAAUAAGGUGCAAUUACAAGUAUACUAUAUAAUAUAUAUAUGAAGCAUAUCAAUAUCCUAUAUAUUCAUAUAUAAAAUGUAUGGAAGACUGCCUAAUGCACAGUAUGCUUUGUAAAUUCAGCAUCGAGGUUAUCUGCUGUGACUUACUAUCUUCAGAGACAAGGAGGCAGAUGGAAUUCUGGAACAUGGGUAAGAUAACACUCUUGUCAAAAAAAAAGUCCUUGUCCUCAAGCAAGCUAAUGAAGCAAGUGAUAAGCUACGGGUCAAAUUCCCACUUCUACAAUCAAAACUUAUCAUAGGAGCCCUUGAAAAGGGAGUGCAUCUGUCAUAUGUUAAUGACUUCAAGUCAUUCACUGAACUUCUAGGUGUACAGGAAAACUUAAAAGCACUUCACAACUCCUUGUGGGUAUAAUUAGCCUGUUGCAAUUGUUGGCAAUUCUCAUCCUGGGACUUUAAAAGGUCACUCCACUCUUUAAGAUACCAAAUUUGGAGUCACUCUCCCUUCUGGACAGAUUAAAGCAUGCCCUGCAAUUAGUAUACAGCUGCACCUGUUGCAAAGUUUCUUUCUUCAGUGGUGUAAAUGGGGACAGUCAACAACAUUCUAAAUUCUUGAGGGAUUAUCAGACCUCGGAAACCAGGCGAUGAACAAAUCUGAUGUCUGCUGUUGAGGUGAUGGAUGGUGGUCACAGCCUAACCACAAGCAGAAGCCAUGAUCUUUGUUCUUUGUAUAUCCCAGCUGGCACAGAUGCCACAUUGACCUGACUCUCGAUCUGCUCAGAGGGCCUCAAAACAUCUCGUUUCUGCAGAGUUUAAAACUGCUGAAGUUGGGAAUAUCCUGAUUUUUAUACAUCAAGCAACUUUGGAUUGAAUUUGACCUCUUGCGUCUGGCCUACCAAGAAGAAAAUGAAUCACCAAGAUGAUGUUCUUUACCCAAAGAUUAGCUAAUCACCUCUGAAACCUUCCAAAGGAACUGGAGGCCUAAGAAGUUCAAGCCACGGAUUUAAAAUCACAGAGCUUGUAAAUCGGCAGAACCAGAGCCCCCUGAGAUCUGCCUUUCCUGCUCCUGCUGACUCUCUCCACUUCUUCACUUGCUCUCUGAUUUCCCACUCUGCCUACCACUGCUGGAUGAGGCCCUUCUUGACCAUAAGUGUUCAUGGCACUUUGUUUUCAUCUUUCACAUGGCUCAUAUACUUUUCUAUUAGUUAUUAAAGUGAUUUGAGUUCUUAUAUCAUUUCCAAGAAUCAAUAAUGAAUUCCUUGAGAAAUGGGACAAUAUUACAUACCGUUGUAUCAGUCUGGAGUGUUUUUAGAGUUUACCAAUACGGAAAUUUAAUUACCUCACAAAACAAGGAAUCUAGCUGAAAUGGUUCCAGAGUGUAGCCCUGUAACAAUUUCAUAAGGGGCCGACUCUAUUUUCUCUCCACCAUAUAUAGUGUAAUAGACGUUUUCUCAUGUUACGUCAUAGUUGCAAGAUGACUGUUGCAGAUCCUGACAUCUGAUUAUUGUUCAAGGUAAGAAAUGGUGGGAAGGGCAGCCCCACUAAGCCAUCUACUCAUGUCUUGUCCCUUAGAAGACAAGAAAACCUUCCCGGGAGCUCACUGAUUAACUUACUCUUACAUCCCAUUCUAGUAUUGGGUCCCUUUGUAGGUCUUCAAGUGUACAAACAUGACAAUUUCCACACAUUUCCUCCAGGGCUGUGACUUAUAACUGAAGAAUUUAAAGGCUCAUUUAAAGCUUUAAGGACAGCUGUAUGUGAUGCAAGUAGAGGACCAGAAAGCUGAGAGCAUCCAUGGAUACUGAACAGCUGUUGAGGAUCCCUGCUAAGGAGCUGCUCCCAUUUCCAUAUACCUAUUUAACAGCACCUGGAGUUUAAACUCAUGCCCCAGCAAAAUCACACACAGCAAGAUGGUACAGAUUUUUUGGAUUUGCUUGCAGCUAGUCAAACCCUCAAAUGAAACAUCUCUAAAUACCAACGGUCUGUUUUAACCUCUUUUGUGAUGAACAAGGUGGAUUGUGUAUGCUUCCUACUGAAUUAUUACCCCUUUUGUUCUUAAGAGAACAUCUUCGUUGAUGGCUGACUUGUAGACCCAAGCUUAUGCAGUUAUGGUUCCCUCAGGUGUUAACAAUAGGUAGAAUAAACUUUAAAGAUGUUUCAGGUGAAUAGCAUUUCACCCUGUGUCUUGGUACAAAUUGUGAGUCAAUUAUUUAUGAGUGGAGCCCAAUUUGUUUAAACCUCAUUGACCUGUAAUACAGUUAUGACAUGUGUCUUGACUUGAUUCUACCCUCUAUUGAUUUGGCCUGGAAAAGUAAAACAAGAGGUGAAAUGGCCCCUCAGGGUAAGUGAAAAUUGUAGGUUAUGGCCAUGUUAAAUUGCUUUCGUAUACUUUGUGUCCUUUAGAGUCAGAAAAUGAAGCAAUAAAGUAAGUUGAUGUAAGUAAUUCUUGUUUUUAAAAGGACCUUGAAGUGCUCUUAACAAUAUUAUGGAUUUGAUAAGAUCUGCUUCAGACUUCUUAAUUUAAAAUGAACAUAAAGAUGGUAAAGCUGAAGGAAUGUUGAAAUACCAGUGUUGUGUUAACAGCUUUGAAAUGGAAUUCAUGGGAAAGGACCAAUAUGAACUCUUCAGUAUUGUCUGCCAUACUUGGGGGGAAAUGAAAGCAGCAGUUACUGCCAGGAAUUUCCUGGGGGGCAUAUCCAGGUGUACAAAAUAUUUAGGAGGGUUUCAAAUGUUUUUUGCUCAUUGCUUACGUGUUAUCAAGUUCAGACAGUGUUUAAAACACUUUGACAAUUUUCAAGUUUUAAAUGUUCAUUUUUGUGACAGGCAAACCUAUUAAAUCUGAAUGUUCACAACUUUUUCCUCCCCGUCUCCCCUUUCUCCCUUCUCAUCUGUGAUUAUUGUACUAUUGAUGGGCUAAGAGAGAACUGAUGAGAGAGAGAAAAUAUUAAUUCACAUACGAAAAAAGAGAGCAUCAUUAGUUAGAAAAAGAAUAGAGUGCGUGGGGAGUGGAGAAAAAGGACAAGAGCCAACAUGGAGACAUGAGCUGUGUUUAGGGCAGACUAGUGUGACAUUUAGAGAGUGGGAGGAGAAAGAGUUGAGGUAAAGUUUACACAGAAAGCUGUAAAAAAAGCUGAUUUCAAAAGAGGUUAUUAGGUAUGAUGAAUAGUGUGCUUUGAGACAAUUAGAUAUUUAUUUAAAUCUCUCAAGGUAAGAACAAGCUGUUUUGGCUUUAUGCUCUUUUCUAUUAUUAUCCUUGAAGUUGUCAUCUCUUGUUUUUAAAGCCCCUUCUUUCCUACAUGCCGAUAAUAGCAGUUCUAUUGAUUAAUUAUCCAUGAAGGAAGUAUAGGACAAAGAGAAAGAUAGAGCUGGAUGAGAUGCGGUUAGAAGGUGAUCCAGAAGACAUGGAGCGUACAUGAGCUUGACCAGAACAGAAGGCUUUUGAGAUAAAGGAGCAAUUCUGAGGAGAAGGUGUCCUGAGAUAAAGGAGCAAUUCUGAGGAGAAGGUGUACUUCCUAGGACCUCAGUUACUGCUUAAACUUUGCUUCUUUGAUUUCAGUUUAUACUUCCGUAUAUUGGAUUACAGAAUGCCCUUUGUGCCGCUAAUAACCAGGAGGCUAGUUUGAGCUCUCUAGCGGUCUGGGUAACAUGAUACGCUAAUUCAGAAAUUCCAAAUUCUGAAAAGGAUAUGCAACCAUGUCGCUUAAGAGCCUCUGUGUUAAGUAUGCCUGAAUUAAGUAAGGGUUGUGAAAAGCCUUGCACGAGGUGGCACUACUGUUUUGGACCCAGGAUGAAUGGGACAAGUUUGAACCAAGAGAUCACCUAAUUCUUUUGCUUAGAAACUUCAAACUCCAUUGUUAUGGAAACAACGGUAAGAAGGAGUGGGAAGGAGUUAGUACCACUUCUGAAUCAGUCUUUCCAACUCUGUACUUUAAUAAAUCAUUCUAUGGGCUCCACUUCA
Non-coding RNA from Sus scrofa (pig), 5188 nucleotides. Lineage: Eukaryota; Metazoa; Chordata; Mammalia; Artiodactyla; Suidae. The record is from RefSeq and is a predicted model, not a curated record.